UACGUAGGGAGCAAGCGUUGUUCGGAUUUACUGGGCGUAAAGGGCGCGUAGGCGGCGCGGUAAGUCACUUGUGAAAUCUCUGAGCUUAACUCAGAACGGCCAAGUGAUACUGCAGUGCUAGAGUGCAGAAGGGGCAACUGGAAUUCUCGGUGUAGCGGUGAAAUGCGUAGAUAUCGAGAGGAACACCUGCGGCGAAGGCGGGUUGCUGGGCUGAUACUGACGCUGAGGCGCGAAAGCCAGGGGAGCGAACGGG
RNAcentral lists this ribosomal RNA (253 nucleotides) under uncultured bacterium. RNAcentral's name for it is "partial 16S ribosomal RNA". It matches the Rfam family "Bacterial small subunit ribosomal RNA", at positions 524 to 776 of the family's 1533-position model. The record is from RNAcentral.